Molecule: long non-coding RNA, 405 nt
Organism: Branchiostoma belcheri (Belcher's lancelet)
Lineage: Eukaryota; Metazoa; Chordata; Leptocardii; Amphioxiformes; Branchiostomatidae
Exons: 5
Source: RefSeq, a predicted model, not a curated record
GUCCAGUUGUAAAGACUAGGAAUGCCCGAAUUUCAUGGAGAUUUUGGCAGAUGUUUUUGAGAGUCCCUGACCCUUGGUGACCCGACUGUCAGAAAAGAUUUGACGAAGAGGACCCAAUCUGUCCCCCGGAGACACAGAACACAUGAGCUUGACACAAUGUGCUGAACUGUAGUGACCCACAACACUCAGUUGUUGUCACGUUUCUGGAGCCAGCUACAUCCACAGCGAGGGUUUUUCUCCCUCCGACCGUAGAAGGCUUCGUCAAUCACGAUCAACUCAUCCGCUGCACAAGCCAGCCGUAUGUUGUGCAAGAAUCAACCCAUUGAUGUAGUGGAAUCAACCAUCCUUCUUCGAGGGGAGGUCCUGAAUUUCAGCGGCAUCACCAAUGAAUGGUCAAUAAGGUAA